RNAcentral lists this ribosomal RNA (308 nucleotides) under uncultured bacterium. RNAcentral describes it as "bacterial SSU rRNA". It matches the Rfam family "Bacterial small subunit ribosomal RNA", at positions 28 to 334 of the family's 1533-position model. The record is from RNAcentral.
GACGAACGCUGGCGGCGUGCUUAACACAUGCAAGUCGAACGGUAAGGCUCCAGCUUGCUGGGGGUACACGAGUGGCGAACGGGUGAGUAACACGUGGGUGACCUGCCCUGCACUUCGGGAUAAGCCUGGGAAACUGGGUCUAAUACCGGAUAGGACCAUGGUGUGGAUGCUGUGGUGGAAAGUUUUUUUCGGUGUGGGAUGGGCCCGCGGCCUAUCAGCUUGUUGGUGGGGUAAUGGCCUACCAAGGCGGCGACGGGUAGCCGGCCUGAGAGGGUGGACGGCCACAUUGGGACUGAGACACGGCCCAG